This 76-nucleotide transfer RNA is filed under the name Moorella sp. E308F. RNAcentral's name for it is "tRNA-Asn". It matches the Rfam family "tRNA". From Rfam's summary of the family: Transfer RNA (tRNA) molecules are approximately 80 nucleotides in length. Their secondary structure includes four short double-helical elements and three loops (D, anti-codon, and T loops). Lineage: Bacteria; Bacillati; Bacillota; Clostridia; Neomoorellales; Neomoorellaceae. The record is from RNAcentral. RNAcentral also lists the same sequence under 1 other name.
AGGAGAGUAGCUCUAACGGUAGAGCGACCGGCUGUUAACCGGGAGGUUGCAGGUUCGAAUCCUGCUACCCCUGCCA